AACGAACGCUGGCGGCAGGCUUAACACAUGCAAGUCGAACGCAUCCUUCGGUGUGAGUGGCAGACGGGUGAGUAAUGCGUGGGAACGUGCCCUUCAGCUCGGGAUAAUCCAGGGAAACUUGGGCUAAUACCGGAUACGUGCGAGAGCAGAAAGAUUAAUCGCUGAAGGAUCGGCCCGCGUCUGAUUAGCUAGUUGGUGGGGGAAUGGCCCACAAAGGCGAUGAGCAGUAGCUGGUCUGAGAGGAUGAUCAGCCACAUUGGGACUGAGACACGGCCCAAACUCCUACGGGAGGCAGCAGUGGGGAAUAUUGGACAAUGGGCGCAAGCCUGAUCCAGCCAUGCCGCGUGAGUGAUGAAGGCCUUAGGGUUGUAAAGCUCUAUCGUCCGGGACGAUAAUGACGGUACCGGAAGAAGAAGCCCCGGCUAACUUCGUGCCAGCAGCCGCCGUAA
RNAcentral lists this ribosomal RNA (449 nucleotides) under uncultured bacterium. RNAcentral's name for it is "partial 16S ribosomal RNA". It matches the Rfam family "Bacterial small subunit ribosomal RNA", at positions 29 to 523 of the family's 1533-position model. The record is from RNAcentral.